UGCCAGCCGCCGCGGUAAUACGGAGGGGGCAAGCGUUGUCCGGAUUUAUUGGGUUUAAAGGGUGCGUAGGUGGUUUUUUAAGUCAGUGGUGAAAGCCUGCAGCUCAACUGUAGAGGUGCCAUUGAAACUGGGAAACUUGAGUAUGGACGAGGUAGGCGGAAUUCCAGGUGUAGUGGUGAAAUACGUAGAUAUCUGGAAGAACACCAGAGGCGAAGGCGGUCUCUUGGUCCGAAACUGACGCUGAGGCGCGAAAGCGUGGGGAGCAAACAGGAUUAGAUA
This 279-nucleotide ribosomal RNA is filed under the name uncultured bacterium. RNAcentral's name for it is "partial 16S ribosomal RNA". It matches the Rfam family "Bacterial small subunit ribosomal RNA", at positions 506 to 784 of the family's 1533-position model. The record is from RNAcentral.